Molecule: ribosomal RNA, 232 nt
Filed under: uncultured bacterium
Lineage: Bacteria
Description: partial 16S ribosomal RNA
Rfam family: Bacterial small subunit ribosomal RNA
Source: RNAcentral
GCAAGUCGAACGAGAAGCAUUUCUUCGGAGAUGCGGACAGUGGCGAACGGGUGCGUAACGCGUGGGAACUUACCGUAUAGUGGGGGACAACAGUUGGAAACGACUGCUAAUACCGCAUACGCCCGAAAGGGGAAAGCUUUAGUGCUAUAUGAUAGGCCCGCGUUAGAUUAGCUAGUUGGUAAGGUAAUGGCUUACCAAGGCGACGAUCCGUAGCUGGUCUGAGAGGAUGAUC